Molecule: long non-coding RNA, 480 nt
Organism: Ornithorhynchus anatinus (platypus)
Lineage: Eukaryota; Metazoa; Chordata; Mammalia; Monotremata; Ornithorhynchidae
Exons: 3
Source: RefSeq, a predicted model, not a curated record
AGGACGGCACUCUGCACACGGUGGGCUCUCAGGACCGCACUCUGCACAACGUGGGCGCUCGGGACAGCGUGCUGCACGCCGCGCGCGCCCAGGACGGCGCUGUGCUUACGAGUCCCUGUCCCACCCAGGGAGCUUACUCUAUUUCACAGAGGAGAAGGACCAAGACCAGAGAGGCCGACGACACCAGGACUCUGGGAGGAACUGUGUGCCGAUUUCUGUCCCGGACCUGUCUUCGUGGUUAGGAACGAUCCAUCCAACACCCUUGACCCUCCCUUUUCCAUCCCCGACUCUCCCCCGGUGACCAAGCGCGGACCAUCCACCAUCCCCGACUCUCAGGGUCCUCUCCGUCCCUGACUUUCCUGCAGUGGAGCCCAGACAAUCUGACCGCUCUGGUUCUCCCCUCUCCUUCCCAACUCUUUUCUAGUGACCUAGCAAGGAUCGAAGGGCGAAGACGCUCUCCUCCCCCGUGCCCUGCCCCGC